GCCACGGUGGUCUAGUGGUUAGAACGUUGGCCAUGUAAGCCUGGGGUCCCGGGUUCAAUUCCCGGUGGUGCUC
This 73-nucleotide transfer RNA is filed under the name Zootermopsis nevadensis. It matches the Rfam family "tRNA". From Rfam's summary of the family: Transfer RNA (tRNA) molecules are approximately 80 nucleotides in length. Their secondary structure includes four short double-helical elements and three loops (D, anti-codon, and T loops). Further hydrogen bonds mediate the characteristic L-shaped molecular structure. tRNAs have two regions of fundamental functional importance: the anti-codon, which is responsible for specific mRNA codon recognition, and the 3' end, to which the tRNAs corresponding amino acid is attached (by aminoacyl-tRNA synthetases). tRNAs cope with the degeneracy of the genetic code in two manners: having more than one tRNA (with a specific anti-codon) for a particular amino acid; and 'wobble' base-pairing, i.e. permitting non-standard base-pairing at the 3rd anti-codon position. Lineage: Eukaryota; Metazoa; Arthropoda; Insecta; Blattodea; Termopsidae. The record is from Rfam by way of RNAcentral.